UACGUAGGGGGCUAGCGUUAUCCGGAAUUACUGGGCGUAAAGGGUGCGUAGGUGGUUUCUUAAGUCAGAGGUGAAAGGCUACGGCUCAACCGUAGUAAGCCUUUGAAACUGGGGAACUUGAGUGCAGGAGAGGAGAGUGGAAUUCCUAGUGUAGCGGUGGAAUGCGUAGAUAUUAGGAGGAACACCAGUUGCGAAGGCGGCUCUCUGGACUGUAACUGACACUGAGGCACGAAAGCGUGGGGAGCAAACAGG
This 252-nucleotide ribosomal RNA is filed under the name uncultured bacterium. RNAcentral's name for it is "partial 16S ribosomal RNA". It matches the Rfam family "Bacterial small subunit ribosomal RNA", at positions 524 to 776 of the family's 1533-position model. The record is from RNAcentral.